CCAGCAGCCGCGGUAAUUCCAGCUCCAGUAAGCAGCGCCAACGUUGUUGCAGUUAAAAAGCUCGUAGUUGGAUUUCAGUUGAGAGGGUUGUGGUGGAAACACCACUGACUUGAUAAUCUCAACUUGUUUGGGAAGGUGUGUUUGGGAAACCCCUUCUCAUCUUUCACUGUGAAAAAAUUGGAGUGUUUAAAGCAGGCUUUAAGCUUGAACACAUUAGCAUGGAAUGAUAAGAUAUGACGAUGUGUCUAUUUUGUUGGUUGCGUCACGUCGUAAUGAUUAAUAGGGACAGUUGGGGGUAUUCAUAUUCAGUAGUCAGAGGUGAAAUUCUUGGAUUUACUGAAGAUGAACAAGUGCGAAAGCAUUUACCAAGGAUGUUUUCAUUAAUCAA
This 388-nucleotide ribosomal RNA is filed under the name uncultured eukaryote. RNAcentral's name for it is "SSU rRNA". It matches the Rfam family "Eukaryotic small subunit ribosomal RNA", at positions 567 to 980 of the family's 1831-position model. The record is from RNAcentral.